RNAcentral lists this long non-coding RNA (25358 nucleotides) under Zostera marina. RNAcentral describes it as "long non-coding RNA (ZMAR_LNC002787)". The record is from RNAcentral. Lineage: Eukaryota; Viridiplantae; Streptophyta; Magnoliopsida; Alismatales; Zosteraceae.
AAGCAAACUCAAGAGCUUUCACUCCACACUUGCCCACACGUUUUUGCCUCUAAGCUUCCAAGCUUUCAAGUGCUCAAGUGUCCUAGCUUUCCAAAGCUUCAAAAGCUCUCCAACUUCUUCUUCUAAUCUUCUUGUUCAUCUUUACAAGUAAGAAGUGUUGUUUGCUUUAAUAUUCCACUCCUCUAAUCAUCUCUUGUGUGUGUCCACUUUGGUUGAGAGGGUUGUCUCAAAAGUACCAAAGUGUGAGAGAAGGUUUGUGAGCUCAACCAUAAAGCUCUAGUUUGGUUUUAUAGAGUUUCCGGGAAAAUUCUUAGGUCGAGUCUACCUUUAAAGAUUUCAGAGGUUUUUAAGAGUUCCUUGAUACUCUAAGGUACUAACUUACCCGUAAAAGUUAGAGGUUCUUAAGAGUGCCCUUGAUACUCUAAGGUGUGAGUCUACCCGUAAAAGACUGGUUCCUAAGCGAAGUAGCCGUAAAACUUAGAGAGGUUUUUAAGAGUUCCUUGAUACUCUAAGGUACUAACUUACCCGCAAAAGUUAGAGGUUCUUAAGAGUGCCCUUGAUACUCUAAGGUGUGAGUCUACCCGUAAAAGACUGGUUCCUAAGCGAAGUAGCCUUAAAGCUUAGAAAGGUUUUGCCAUUACCUUUAGGCGAGUGAAUUCCGGCAGUUGGUCGGGACUGGACUAGCCCUUGUUUGGGUGAACCAGUAUAAAUCUCUUGUGUUGUUCUUUGUUAAUUAUAGUUCUAUCUUUUACUUAAAAACAACACUUAAUUAAAAAGAUCCCUCUUCCAGUUAUCUGGUCAAAUACAGAGGUUGACUACUUUACGCAGAUCCCUCAUCCAGUUAUCUGGUCAAUUAUCUGAGGUUAUAUUCAUUGCUUUAAAUCCUUAUAUUUGUUCAAAUAUUACUUAUCUUAUAUAUCCUGUUAUCUGGUCACUUACUUAUUUAUCAAUAUAUCCAGUUAUCUGGUCAUUUACUUGCUUAUCAAUAUAUCCAGUUAUCAAUUUGUGUUUACAAUAUAACAAUUUGUGUUUCCAAUAUAACUUAGUAUUCAUAUACUAUAGUUGUGUUUGAAACACUAUCAAGCAAGUUGACUCAGUAUUCAUAUACUGUAGUAAGCUUCAAAGAGUAAUACUUACAUUAUUAUAUCAAUUAAAAUAAUAAUAUCCUUAUAACAUUACUGUUCAACCAUUGGUUUAUUAAGCAUUUACAGGUAAUUCCGCUAUCAACCUGUAUAAAUCGAAAAGAGGCUAUCAUCCCCCCUUAUAGCCUCGGAUCACGAUCCAACAAGUGGUAUCAGAGCCAAGUUCCGUUGAAGUCAGACUAACAUCUUACAACAACAACUAUGGCUUCAAAUGGCGAAAACAGUACUGGUCUUGCAUCGAACAAACCUCCCAGGUUCGAUGGAGUAAAGUAUGACUUCUGGAAGAACAAGAUGAAGUUAUACUUAAAGUCAAUCAACAAUGGAGUCUGUAAAAUCAUAUUGGAAGAUUAUGAGAUUCCAACAAGCAAAGAAGAGACUUGGGGAGCUAUGGAUAUCCUCAAGGAAAACAACAACUCAAGAGCAUUGAAUGCACUAUAUGGCGCCCUCAAUGAAUCUGAGUAUAGCAAAAUUCGAUGCUUGGAUACAUCUCACAAGGUAUGGAAAGCUUUGGAGGAUUUACAUGAAGGAACCUCCCAUGUCAAGGAAAAUAAGCUACUACAUGCCACUUCUCAAUUCGAAAGAUUCUCUAUGAGGGAAGAUGAGACUAUCGCAGAAAUGAACAUUCGACUAUCACAAAUAGUCAAUGAUCUGGCUGGACUAGGAGAUCCAGUAACUGAGAAAAAGCAAGUGAGCAAGAUUCUAAGGAGCCUUCCAAACAAAUAGUACUCAAAGAGGAAUGCUAUCCAAGAAUCUCAUGAUCUGAACAAACUCACAGUGGUAGAACUCUGCGGAAAUCUGAUGGCCUAUGAAGAAGAAAGAUUUAUCUCUAGAGCAAAAGAGGAGAAAAAGGAUAUUGCUCUAAAAAGUCAAAGUGAUAAUGAAUCAUCUGAUGAUGACUUGGCAAUGCUCACAAAUCAUCUAAAGAGAUAUCUCAUGAAAAGGAAAGAAAAGAGAAAUUCAAGGAUAGACUAUCAGAAUUCCGACAGAAAAGUGAGUAAAAACUACAAAGACUCAAAGGAGCCUAUCUGCUACUUAUGCAACAAAUCUGGACACAUCAGACCUGAAUGUCCUCUACUAAAGAUGAAAAAGCGCAUCAAGUACACUGGUCAGAUUCUGAGUCAGAUCAAGAAGACUGCCUCAUGGCUCAUGAGAACGACUCUGAGGUAAACUUUACAAAUACUAGAUUUAAUUCAUUAGAAGAAGCAUUUCUAGAAUUAAUGGAUAAAUAUAAAGCUGAGAAAAAAUUAAGUAAAUCAUUAAGACUAGAAUGCAUGAAUAAAUCACAUAUUGAUCAUUCAAUAGAAUUAGAAGAAUCACAAAAAGAAUGCAUGUUAUUAAAAGAAGAAAAUCAUAAACUCUCAAGUAAAAUAAAAAAGGGAGAUGAAAAAAUCAAAACACUUAAGAGUCAAAAUUUUGAAUUACUCGAUAUUCUAGAAUCUGAAGAAAAUCAACCAAAUGAAAUAAAUGGUGAUAGGGUUGAAUUGUUAGAAUUAAAAAUAGAUAAUUUUGAGGAAAUCAUUAGAAAUAAAGAAAAAGAAACAAUCAUGCUUAAAACUGAAAUAGAAUCUAAGGAUAAACUUGUACUUGAGCAUGAAGAAACUUUACAAAAAUUAUCUGAAAAAUAUAAUAGCAUGCAAUUACAAACUAAAAGAAUAAAUGAGAAAAAUAGUGUUCUUCAGAAAUUCUUCAAUAGUUCAUCAAAGUUAAAUAAUAUGUUGCAAGGCUCGAACUUGGGUCAAAAGAAAUUUGGCUUAGGGUUUGAGUCAAAUACACCUAUUAACAAAACCCUAAAUGCCACAACUUAUAAUGAUCAUUUUGUAAGGGAAUCUAGUUAUACAAAACCUUUGCAUGCUUCAAUACAUAAUAAUUAUGCUUUAAUACAUAAUAAUUAUUCUAGCAAUACAAAGUUCAUUCAUCUAAGAUGAAUCAUCCAAAGCAAAGAUGGAUGACUAAAGAUGAGCUAAGAAGUUAUAAGCAGAUUAAGUAUGUUAAUUCAUCCGGACCCAACUCAGUAUGGGUACCAAAGGAUCUUUCAACUUUUUCAGGAAAAGCAUGUGUCAAAAUGGAUGUUCGACAGUGGAUGCACAAGACACAUGACCGGGGAAUCAAGUCUACUAAACGACUUGAUAGACUUACCUCCUACUAAAAACGCCGAUAACAACGAAGGUACAAUAGUAGGUAGGGGUAAUGUAGGAAAUACAGAAAAACCAUUCUUAAGAAAUGUAUACUUAGUAAAUGGUCUAAAACACAACCUGAUUAGCAUAAGUCAAUUAUGUGAUAUCGGUUGUGUAGUAAAAUUUGAAAAAUACAAUUGUUCUAUCACUAACUCUGAGGGAGUUAUCAUUGCCAGAGGAUAUAGAAAAAGCAAUGCUUAUUCUAUAAACUUUGAUAAAUCUAAACCAACUCAUGACUUCUGCAUGCUUGCUGCAAGUGAUGAGAAAGUUCUGUGGCAUAGACGACUAGGUCACACCAGCUACUCAAAGCUAUCUAGAUUAUCUAAAGAAGAAUUAGUAACCGGGUUGCCUAAAAUAGCUUAUGAAAAAAGUAAUAUCUGUGAUGCUUGUCAAAAAGGAAAGCAACACAAAAGCUCACUUAAAUCUCUCACAAAAAUAACCACUUCUAGACCCUUAGAACUUCUUCACAUGGACUUAUUUGGGCCAACCCAAACCCAAAGUCUUGGAGGAAAAAGAUUCACCUAUGUAAUCAUUGAUGAUUAUUCUCACUAUACAUGGGUAUUCUUUCUAAGAAACAAAAGUGAAACCUUUGGUGAAUUUUCUAAAUUUUGUACCCUAGUACAGAAUGAAAAAAGUUCAUCUAUCAUAAAAAUCAGAAGUGAUCAUGGAAGAGAAUUUGAAAACUCUGACUUUGAAGAGUACUGUAUAUCCAAUGGGAUAAAGCAUGAAUUUGAUGUUUUUCAAGCUCCACCUCAAAAUGGAAUAGUAGAAAGAAAAAAUCGUACUCUUCAAGAAAUGAGUAAGUCUAUGUUACAAGAACAUGACUCCCCUCAAUAUCUAUGGGCAGAAGCUAUAAGCACUGCUUGUUACACUCUAAAUAAGGUAAUCAUUAGAAAAACCUUAAACAAAACUCCCUAUGAACUUUGGAAUAACAGAAAACCCAAAGUUUCAUUCUUUAAGGUAUUUGGGAGUAAGUGCUAUGUUCUCACAACAAGGGGAAACCAAGAUAAAUCAGCACAAAAAUCUGAUGAAGGAAUCCUGGUUGGAUACUCAAAAAGGAGCAAGGCAUAUAGAGUCCUUCUCAAAGAAAGACAAACAUUGAUAGAAUCCCUACACGUUGACUUUGAUGGGUCCAUCUCUGUUCCAAACACAGAAGAAGGAGGAGUUAAAGUCAUUAAACAAAUACCACACUCCCAUAGAAAGAGAUGAUCAAGAAACAAUCGUCUCUGAACUUCCAUCAAAUAAGAAUCUCAGAAACUCAGAACAAAUCAUUGGAGAUCAACACACUAGCAUACAAACAAAAUCAUCUAUACAAGGCAACUAUGUCCUAGAUUGCUUUGUAUCUCAAAUAAAGCCUAAAUAGAUCUAUAUGCAUAUGAACUUAACAUGAUCUAAUGCUAUAUAAACAUACAUGCUUUUAUCAUUCACAUACUAAGCUCUACACGCACAUAACUCAAUAGACAUAGUAAGAUCUAAAUGCAUGUCUAUCAUAUCAAUCACGUUAAUACAUGCCUAUACAUUGAUUUAUAUGCUUCUAUAAAAUAUAUGAUCUGAUAAAUGCUUGGUUUAUAAAAUCUCCUAUGAAAUAUUCAACUACAUAAUCGUUAUAUGCUAUGUGAUUGUGCUUUCAUUAUUCAACUCACUGAUUCAUACAUAUCAUAUAAUCACCUACCAAACAGUUGAUUAUCUUUGAAUAAUGCCAUCUUUUUAAUACUAGUUAAAAACUAUGAUGACAUACAAUCAUAAACAUGAAUAUUUCCUUACUAAAUUAGCUAACUCAUAAUCAAUUCAUGAGACUAAUCCUAUACAUGCAUGUUUUACAUGCCAUCUGUAUGAUCUUUUGAUAAAUACAUAUAAUAUGCAUGCAAAGCAAAAUGAAUCUACCUACAUAUGAGAUGUGCAAUACAUGCAAAUUUCAUGCCAUGUUGCUUAUAUUAUAAAUCUUACUUAUCACUGAUCAUCUGCAUGUUUAGAAGAGUCCUUUAAAUGCAAACUAGUCAACUAUGCAACAUCAUCUAAAUACAACAUAUUGUUAAAUCCAUUCUGCUAUAUUAUAUCCUAAUGAUGUUGGUAAGCUACACCAUGCCUUGGAAACUCAAAACAAAUUAGAUAUGUUUUGAAACUCUCAUUGCUGAAAAAGCCAGCAACUCAUCUGCAACCAUCAAUCACUUGCGACAUCCGGCAACUCUAUUACCAGAGAAACACCUCGCAAGAAGUGCUGACAGAAGACAAAUCCUGCACCUGCACACAUCAAUCUUUGUCUGCAGAAGUUGAAAACAUCGGCUACAAAAGUCUAAAGGCAUGGAGAGUAUAAAAGUUGUGUUGAACUACUAAAAAGGUAUGAAUAAAUAGUUUUUUUAAAACAAAUCUUAAUUUAGAAACAAAUCUCUAGAUAAAUCUAAAUGAUUUGACUCUCCAAGACAUGUGUCAUGGAGUAUUGAAAAACAAACCCUAAGUUGCCAACUCUUCACGGGUAGACAUGACUUAAAGCUUGUAAAGCUUUACAAGUAAUAUCUGAUAAUUCAGAAUCCGGACAGACAUGAUCUGCCAAAAGAUAGAAUUUCUCACUAUAAAAGGACAGGAAGAACAAUCAAAACAUAUCUUUUCCUCUUCCUAACAUCAGUCUGUCCCAAGGAUGUUGAUUCAAGAAAUCGAUCCUGAGAAGAAGGAAUUAACAAUCAUACCAGACUGUCCUUCCAGUCCGGUAUACAACCCUAAUCCCUCAAGCAGCAAAGUUAUCCGGAAGAAACGCACCAGAAAGAGUCCAGCAUCAGAAAUAUUCCAAGGAACACCAACAUGGAUCUCUCCAAUAGCCAAGUUUUCCUAUAAUCUCAUUCUCGAGCAAAGAAUGAUCUUUGAGGAACCUGUUCUACUCAGAUCUCUCAACUGCAAGGUGAUUGAAGGACUACUAAACUUCAACAGGCUUACUGACUACCUUGAGAACAUAGGGAAGCUCAGAAUCUACAAAUCUGAGUUGGCUCAGUUCUAUGCAAAUCUCAAGUAUGAGACAGUAGGUACUCAAGUGAUCACCACCAAGGUAAAUGGAAUAUCUCUCGUUCUAGGAGCUGAUAAACUUGGAAUAUGGAUAAACCUACCCAACAACGGAGUAAAGCUUCAAAACUACAGAAGCCUGGAUGAGCUACCUUUUAAGUGCAGCUGGGAGAUUCUCUGGAAUACUCUCACCCACAGGUAUAACCCUAAGAGCACUGAUAAGAUCCUAAAGACAAUGCUCAUACCAGAAGCUUCAAUCUUUCUGAAGAUCAUCUCAUACAACAUAUAUCCUCAAGUUGAAGAUAAAGAAGAACCAUCAACAUUGAUAUUAGUAGCAAUUUACUGCCUGCUGUCAAAGAUCAGAGUGAACUGGGUAUCACUGAUCAUGCACAAUUUGGCUACAUCAACCAAGAACACUGGAGCUCGCUACUACCCAAGGAUGCUUUCAAAACUACUCAGUCCAGGGUACUUUGGAAUUCCACUCUAUCCACAUCCAAUCAUAUCUCACAUUCAGCCAUUCACUGCAAGCUCCUUCCAAAAGACUUGGAGGAACACCUAUGAUCCAAACUCACCAAACACUAAUGUGUUUUUGAAUGAGGAAGUCAUAAGAGUUAGACAUCAAGUAAGGAUGCUGGAAAAAGGAAUGGGAGAUCUGGAAGAGAUGGUGUCUAUAACAAGGCAACAGCUAGAUGAUGAAAGAGAGUACAACCUGGAGCUGGCUAACCUAUUUCAUGAGUUUAGCUCCAAGGUCAUCCCAACCAUGCACCACCAUGACUGAACUACAUCUGCCCUAAGAAGUAUUUUGAUGUUUUAAGUACUUAAUCUUGUAUCUGUUUUUCUGUUUUUUGGAGAUCCAUUCAUGGAUCGUUGUCUCAUUGAAUAUGAGAUUCAUCCUGUCAUGUUUCACCUCUUUUGUUGAAAUGGAAAAGUUCUAUGAUUUUAAUCAUCAUAAGGGUAUGCAUGCAUAAAGAAAAACAUAAUAUUAGCAAUAUCAAAAACUUGAGGGCUGCAUGGACAUUAGUUAAUACUUCAGGGUAUAAUUAAAAUUCUUUUGAAGUAUUAAUUGACUUUUCAAAGUCAUGAACUUUAAAACUUCAAGGGAUUAAACAUAAAAUAUUUUUGAAGUUUAAAAAGAUUUACUUAAAACUUAAGGAUUAAAGGUAUAUUUUUCAGUAAAUAUAGAAUUUUAUGAAACUUCAAGGGCUUAAAGAAAAUCAUUUGUGAAGUUUUUAAGAUUCACUGAAAACUUAAGGAUCAAAAAUAUAUUUUCAGUGAAUAUAAAGUUUUGUGAAACUUCAAGGACUUAAACGUAAAUCGUUUAUGAAGUUUUUAAGUUUUAAUAGAUUCACUGAAAACUUAAGGAUCAAAAAUAUAUUUUCAGUGAAUAUAAAUCUAGUUAAAACUUCAGGGACUUAGAAUCAAUAUUUACAUGAAGUUUUAAUCAGAAAAAUUACUUAGAAAUAUUUAAUACUUCCAAGGUUUAAAAUAAUAUUUUUUAAGUAUUAAUCUAAGUAUUCAUUAUAACUUUAAAGGGAUUAAAUUAUCUAUGAAGUUAUUCAUUAAGGGUUCAAAGGAUACCAUUACAGUGAAUAUUUAGUUAAAACUUCAAGGACUUAAAAUUAAUAUUUACAUGAAGUUUUCAAUGCUUAGAAUUGGUUAAUACUUCCAAGGUUUACAUGAAAUAUUUCAAGUAUUAAUCUAAGUUUUUAUUAUAACUUCAAAGGGCUUAAAUGAAAUUUUGUUUUAAGUGAAGUUUUACUACUAAGGCUUUAAGGACUGAAAUGAAAAUUUUAAAUCUUUUAAAACUUAGUGAAUAUUUACAUGAUUAUAUUUGUCACUAAGACAUAGAUUUUAAAAUUUUAAAUGCUCAAUUUCUCCUUAAAGCAAUUAGUGAAUAUUAUGGAUUUAUACAUAUCAUUCACUAAUAUCUUAUGGAUUAUAACAUUAUAAUCCAUACAUGUUAAGAUCAUCUUCAUCCAUAACACACACAUGGAUUAUUAUUCAUUGCAUGAUCUCAACACAAGGCAAUUUAAAUUAUCAUAUCAUACUUGCCUUAUAAUGUAUAUCAAAAUUGGCUUCAAUCCAAUAUUUUAUCAAUGAGCAUAAAUUACAUGUUAUUUCUCCUUUAUGAUUGAUUAACACUCUUAUAAGCAAGACGCCACAUUUGGUCAACCACACAAAUCGAAUUUGUGAUUAAAGCUCAAUAAGGUAUGAAGUUUUAUUUUCUCCACAAAUUAGAUAUGUCCUAUCAUUAGGGGGGAGAUACUUCACAGGUAUCUAUUUUUAACUUUGUCGAUACCUUAUUGUUUUAAGGGGGAGAAAUCAUGCAUGAUCCACUGCUUUUAAAUUGAAUAUUAUGGGUCAAUAAUUCAGGGGGAGCAUGCUCAUAAGGGUAAAAUAGAAUAUUGACUAGACAUGAGUUAAAACAUAUAUGCCAUCGACAAAGGGGGAGAAUGUAGAAUCAAAAUUGUCGACAUAGGAUUAUAUUUUAAUCAUGUCAAUUUAAAUCCUAAUUACACUAUUAAUCAAUAGGGGUUAAAUAAGUCAAUCGAUAUUAAACCUAACUCCAGUUAAUUAAUUAAUCAUUUGAGUUAAGGGUUUAAGUCAAAGUUAAAAGUCAAACUGGGAGAAUUGCAUUUUCACCUUGAAUAUUAUUAUUUGGAAUAAUUGCAUUUUCACCUUGAAUAUUAUUAUUUGGAAUAAUUGCAUUUUUACCUUGAAUAUUAUUAUUAUUAUCUUUUGACACUUUAUUCAAGGUAUAAUAUUCCAAGGGGACAAAACACUAUUCAAGUUUGAAUUUAUACAAAAAUAAGAUUCUCCAACAAAGAUAAGAUUCUCCAACAAGGGACAAAACACUAUCCAAGGAAAACACUAUUCAAAGACAAAGCUUGGAUUUAUGUGAAAAAUCAAGGAGACAUCCAUUGAAGAUCCAAGGGUGGACAUUGAGUGGCCAAGGCUAUAAAUAGAAGGGUAAUCCCCUCAUUUUCACUCACCACACUACAAGCAAACUCAAGAGCUUUCACUCCACACUUGCCCACACGUUUUUGCCUCCAAGCUUCCAAGCUUUCAAGUGCUCAAGUGUCCUAGCUUUCCAAAGUUUCAAAAGCUCUCCAACUUCUUCUUCUAAUCUUCUUGUUCAUCUUUACAAGUAAAAAGUGUUGUUUGCUUUAAUAUUCCACUCCUCUAAUCACCUCUUGUGUGUGUCCACUUUGGUUGAGAGGGUUGUCUCAAUAGUACCAAAGUGUUAGAGAAGGUUUGUGAGCUCAACCAUAAAGCUCUAGUUUGGUUUUAUAGAGUUUCCGGGAAAACUCUUAGGUUGAGUCUACCUUUAAAGAUUUCAGAGGUUUUUAAGAGUUCCUUGAUACUAUAAGGUACUAACUUACCCGUAAAAGUGUGUAUNNNNNNNNNNNNNNNNNNNNNNNNNNNNNNNNNNNNNNNNNNNNNNNNNNNNNNNNNNNNNNNNNNNNNNNNNNNNNNNNNNNNNNNNNNNNNNNNNNNNNNNNNNNNNNNNNNNNNNNNNNNNNNNNNNNNNNNNNNNNNNNNNNNNNNNNNNNNNNNNNNNNNNNNNNNNNNNNNNNNNNNNNNNNNNNNNNNNNNNNNNNNNNNNNNNNNNNNNNNNNNNNNNNNNNNNNNNNNNNNNNNNNNNNNNNNNNNNNNNNNNNNNNNNNNNNNNNNNNNNNNNNNNNNNNNNNNNCAUCCAGUUAUCUGGUCAACUAUCUGAGGUUACAUUCAUUGUUUUAAAUCCUUAUAUUUGUUCAAGUAUUACUUAUCAUAUUUAUCCAGUUAUCUGGUCACUUACUUGUUUAUCAACUUAUCCAGUUAUCUGGUCACUUACUUGCUUGUCAAUAUAUCCAGUUAUCUGGUCAUUUACUUGCGUAUCAAUAUAUCCAGUUAUCUGGUCAUUUACUCUACAAUAUAAUUUGUGUUUCCAAUAUAACUUAGUAUUCAUAUACUAUAGUUGUGUUUGAAACACUAUCAAGCAAGUUGACUCAGUAUUCAUAUACUGUAGUAAGCUUCAAAGAGUAAUACUUACAUUAUUAUAUCAAUUAAAAUAAUAAUAUCCUUAUAUCAUUACUGUUCAACCAUUUGUUUAUUAAGCAUUUACAGGUAAUUCCGCUAUCAACCUGUAUAAAUCGAAAAGAGGCUAUCAUCCCCCCUUAUAGCCUCGGAUCACGAUCCAACAAGUAUGAGCUGGCGGAUCUCUUCGAGAAUCCUUAGGAUCUUGGGAAAUAUUUGCAAAUUUUCCAAGUAUGGAAAUUUCCUCCUCGUAUCCCGUGAUUUUUGCCCAAACUCGGCGAGUUUGCGAGAAACUCGCCGAGUCUUGUGGAUUUGGAGAUCAAUUAGCGAUUUUUCUUAGGAGUUUUUGCAAUUUGCCCAGGGUCUAUAAAUAGUGAGUCAAUUAUUUUAAUCCGCACAUCACUUUCCCUGAUUUUGCUUAAACCCUAAUCCCUUUCCAAGUCGCCGAGUUUCUUCCUAACUCGCCGACUCUCAUUACAAUUACCAGAACUUUUUCCAAAAUCGCCGAGUCUUACCUUAAAUCGCCGACACAUGGCAGACGAACCGUCUCUACCUAGACUGACAAUGUCGGAGACCGAAGCUCUGGUCCCCGAUAUUCUGAAUGAAGAUAUCGAUGAAGGCCUGACAGGGGUGCUCGACACCGUCGAGUCUCCGAUUCCCUCACCUCCGCGCGGUGGGUCGGAGAUUCUGGCUGUCGAUGCGCCGCAGGACGUCAGGUACUUGGCUACUGCCUGCGAGUUGCUCGGGCUGACUCCUGAAAGCUCGUCGAGUUCCCAAAAGAAAUCGGCGAGUUUGAUGGAUAACUCGAUGGCUCUGGUCGUGGCAGAGCCUUCUAUUGAAAUGGGCGAGAUUCCCCCGAGUCUUGCAACUAAAUCGGCGAGUCCCCUUGGGAAGUCGCCGACUAAAGGCAAGGGGGGUGUCCCCACAUUCAAGAGACCUCGCUGAGUGAUUACACUGGGAUCGGCGAGUUCCGCACAAACAUCGGCGAGUCUGGGCCCUAAGUCGCCGAUGUUGCCCCUAAACUCGGGGGCUGAAGUUGAAGAAGUUCCACCUAUUCAAGUGGUGGAUGUUGAUAGGCUGAUUGACGAAUCUGAGAGGCCGAAGAAAAGAAAAAGGAAACACCCUAAGCAUGCUAGGGAUUCCUUUGAGAAGCCUACCGAGGCUGAUGCCCCCAUUCCUCACACUUACGGGAUGGGUGGUAGAGGAAAAGUGCACUUCCCCUCUGCAGAGGACGUACGGGUACCUGAGCCCUUUGACUAUUCUCAGGAGAUUCCAGUUGACCGCGGCCAGAGCCGAAGCCGCGAUGACAGAUCGAACACUCCUCCUCCACCUAUGGAAAUAGACAAGGACGGAGAUCAUGUAAACCUCCCAUUCUACGAGGGAGUUGAGAACCACACCGGCUAUGUGCACUGCGAGACCUUGCCGGGUGGUGAGAUAAGACUGUUUCCCCUCUGUGAUACUGACGAGGGGUCUUUUGAAGAGGUUUCUGUCAAUGCACCUCUCGUGCCUCAGAACGAGACCGCGCAUCCCUUUUCCAUAACCUCUGCGCUUGAAGCCCGUGAGAUUCUACGCGGUAUUCGCAUAUAUAUCUGGGCACCUGCGAUUCUGGGGAUCACAAUAUCAGCCCGCGAAUAUGCCUCCAGCCGGGUUCCAAGCCAUUCCCCGCCUUUAUUUCAGACACUUCUCAAUGCUGCACGGUGGGGUGUCGCUGUCGCAGAUGCAGGCAGCAUUUUUUGUGUAUUUGAGAGGAUUCUCCAACAUCUGUUGGAGCCUGAACAUCCCCGCGACCGCCGCCUUAUUCUUCUGGUUUUUCAAGUUUGUGAAGGCGCCCGCUUCCGAAUAUGGUCGGUUGGGGUUAGCUAAGCGGUUCAGUGGGAGAGAGCUGAUUAUAGAACUCCCCACUAACUACGGGCCCCAGUGGAAGAGUGAGUUCUUUUUUAUUGAUUCUACUUUUGUACGCGGGAGCCGCGAGAGGUGGGCCAACGCUCGCCGCGUACACCUGGAUGUUCCUUGCGCCCUGAGCAAGGCUGAACUGAAGCGGGUGAAGAAGAUCUCUUCUGCUCUCGCUUCUUUCGAAUGCGGGCAAGGAAUUCCUUUCGCUUUGUGCCAGCGAGAGGAUUUCACUUUUUCUGACGUGGCACACUACCUGCGGUCAGAGGACCCUUCUGGCAAUCCUAUCAAGAAGAAGAAGGGUGCACAUCUAUACCGCGAGGCGGUCCUUCCACACUUGGCCGUGAGACUUCGCGGCGCUAAGCUGAUACGAGAAAGGAAGGCCCAAGAGACUGGCCCACGCAGAACCUUCGAGACUGGGUCGAGCUCGAGGUCUGUGCCUGAAUUCGUCCCCUUCCGCACCACUUUUGACUAUCCGGGCUUGUUUGCCGACGAAGGGGUGCGAACGAAGGCUGCCCAGCUUCUUCUGACUAAGCCUGGGGACUGGAUAUGCGAAGAGCUUGGAAAAGCUAUAUCUGCUGUAAGUGAUUCGCAAUCACUUUUCAUUUAUAUUUGUUUCAUUUUAUAUUACUAACUGAUUGUUUAGUUUUGUAGGUCGCGUAUUUAUCAAAUGCAACCAUUGGUAUGCAAUCUGCGAACGACACACUCCGUUCUCAACAGGAGUACAAUAAACUUGAUGACAGGUAUCAAGCUGUCUGCAAAGAAGUGUGGUCGUUGAGAAAGACCCUCCAACGGAACAAGAAGUUGGAGGAACAAGCUGCUGAGCACGAGAAAGCAAUGGCGGCGAAGAACAAAGAGUGCGCAGCGCACGGACUUGAAAUUACUGAUCUUCGCCGAAGCUGUGACUCUCUGAAAGAAAAUGAGUCGUUUCUCGUUGCUGCUCGAAAACAGGUUGAUACGCUGAAGACGCAGCUGGAUGUGGAAGUGGGAAAUGCGAUGAUUUCUGAAGCACAAAUUCAGAAAUUGCAAGUUGAAGUUUCUGAAUCCACUUCAGCUCUGAAGGAUUUGCAAGAUCGCUUCUCUCGGUCCACGGAGGAGUCGAAGAAGAUGAAGGAAGCUCUGGAUGCUUCUUCUGAGAAGGUGGAGUCCAAUCGGGCGACUUACGGGCUAACUCGGCGAUCUGGACGAUGAACGUGUUCCGCACCGUGGGAGCUCUCCGGGGGUCCUGCCAUAGCGACGGAGCCCUAGUCCUUGUUGAGAGGCGUGGCUGGGUAGUGACUGGUGUAAUCAGGCAUGUCUCACCAGUACUCCCCCCUGAAGAGAGCACAAGAAACAUGGUGUAUCACCAUGUUCCUUUUCCAGGAACAACGCUUGGUCGUUCGUUCCCGGUUGGUAUUGUUCGAUCCGCGCGGUCGGCCAUACUAGUUCGGCCGGCGCUACCGCCUCCAUCCCGAAUGCAAGGGCGAAUGGGGUCUGGCCCGUGGGAGUUCGGAUGGUCGUGCGGUAUGCCCACAUAGUUUCGGGAAUCAGGUCCACCCAGUUUCCCAGAUGUUCGCCUACUUUCCUUUUGAGGAUCGACACUAUCGUCCGGUUCGUAAACUCCACCUGCCCGUUCACCUGCGUGUGGUACACUAGCGCGAAGCUCAACUUGAUCCCGCUGUUUUCGCAAAAUUCUCUUAACUUCUUCCCUGUGAACUGCGUUUCGUUAUCCGUUAUUAUUUGGAUAGGGACCCUGAUGAAGCACGAAAUCUGCUACCAGUAGGCUCGCGGGGUCGCGAGGAGGGCCGGAGGCUUUGGAGUCCACGACGCACACUCUACGUCAAUGUACCUGCAGAAGGGGAGGGGAAUCGGCGACUCUCUUGGGAGUAGGCGAUUCGGGCUCCAAGUAUUGCUCUGGUUGGUGUGUGUCAAGUGGGAAUGACUUGAGGGUAGAGGUCCCCCAAGGACCCCUUUUAUAGGGUCCUGGGAGACGUUUCCCCAUUCAUUAGUGUGGGACCCACUCCAUUAAGGUAUCCUAUUAAGGAGUGCCUUAAUGACGUGGGCCCACUCAAGUAACGGCUGGGAGUCGGCGAUUCAGGUGUGGGAAUCGCCGAUCCAGAGGUUCAAUCGCUGACUCCCCAUGAGCCUAGUGGCAGCCUACCAGAACUGUCCACGAGGCCUAGAGUCAGCGAUUCACCCCUGGAGUCGGCGACUUGGUAGUCCCAAUCGGCGACUCCCAGGUGCUGCCUUGAGUACUUGACGUAGACACUCCUUCCGAAUUCGUGGAACUCUCCGGGGGUCCGGCAUAAAGCAACGGAACCCUAGUCCUUGUUGAAGGGCAUUGCUGGGAGUGACUGACGUGAUCAGGCAUGUCUCACCAGUACUCCCCCCUGAAGAGAGCAUGGCAAAACACCCGUGUAGCCUCAGUAUCCCCCCCCCGAGCAAGGUAGUCCGCAUCAAGGCAGGAAGCGACAAGAUGGGAUUGAGUCAUUGUGCUCACAGCGACACUAAUGACUCCGCGUGGUCCAUGCACUAUCAGAUGGACUGAUUCACUAUCAGAAUCUAGUUCCAGGCCAAUGGAACUACAUGUUUAUGGUCCUACUCUGAUCAAGAGCGACUUUUGCUGUGUGGAUUCUGGCCGAAGCGACAGAAUGCGUGGAUUCACUAUUAGAAUCUGAUUAUGGCCGAAGCAACAGAAUACGUGGAUUCGUUAUCCGAAUCGGGUUCUGGCCGAAGCGACAGAUUGCGUGGAUUCACUACUAGAAUCUGAUUCUGCCCGAAGCGCGAGAAUCUAGUUCACUAUCAGAACUGAUGUUUAUAGUCUACCCUGAUCAAGAGCGACUUGGUGUCCGCAACGACGGUUACCCCAUAGGCCGAAACGCAAGAUGGGUCGAGAUCAUUAAGGUCAAAGCGACAAAAUGAUCUCCAAAUGUUUGAAGAACUAUUGAAGCCAAAGCGACAACAUAAUUCUCGGUUUGAUUCUGGCCGAAGCGACAGAAUCAUGCCUGCAAAUCAAAAAACAACCUGCAAAACAACUAUAUUAGUCUAAAUGAUAUAUUUAUUGAUUUACUGACCUUGCCGUGCGGAGCUGCCUCUCAUGCUGCUCCUCCUUAUGCUCAAUAAAUCCUUGAUUGAUCUGUCCGAAGCGACAGAUCUAUCAUGCUCAAAAAAUGUGACAGCUUCUGGCCGAAGCGACAGAAGUGCGGACUCACUAUUAGAGUCUGAUNNNNNNNNNNNNNNNNNNNNNNNNNNNNNNNNNNNNNNNNNNNNNNNNNNNNNNNNNNNNNNNNNNNNNNNNNNNNNNNNNNNNNNNNNNNNNNNNNNNNGAUCCACUAUCAGAAUCCGAUUCUCGCCUCGGAUACAGAACCUGCUGACUCACUAUCAGAAUCUGGUUCACUAUUAGAACCUGGCUCACUAUUAGAACCUUUCCUGUAGAAAAGAAAACAUCCUGCAAAACAACUAGAUCAGUUCGAAAACGCAUAUAUUUAUUAUUGAACUAUUGAACUUACCAUGUGAUCUACCUUUCGUGAUAUCCCUCCUUUGCUCAAAUUUGUCUUCGGUAAAUCUGGCCGAAGCGACAGAUUUUACCGUGCUCAAUGAAAUUUGACAACUUCUGGUCGAAGUGACAGAAGUGUCGGGAGAGUUUGUGAUACUCCCCCUGAAAUGUGACGACUUCUAUCUAACUAGACAGAAGUGUCAGGAGAGCUUGUGAUACCCCCCCUGAAAUGUGACGACUUCCAUCCUAUAGACAGAAGUGCCGGGAGAGCUUGUGAUACUCCCCCUCGAAAUGUGAUGACUUCCAUCCUAUAGACAGAAGUGUCGGGAGAGUUUGUGAUACUCCCCCCUGAAAACUUGCACUUGGGGCAGUUUUAGUGUUAUUUUACCCGGAAUCGGCGACAAGAGUUUGUGAUACUCCUACAGUCGGCGAUACCUAUGGUUUGGGUAACUGUAGGGGGUAUUUUUGUUUUNNNNNNNNNNNNNNNNNNNNNNNNNNNNNNNNNNNNNNNNNNNNNNNNNNNNNNNNNNNNNNNNNNNNNNNNNNNNNNNNNNNNNNNNNNNNNNNNNNNNCGGCGACUCCCUCUGUGAGUCGGCGACUCCUAGUGUAACCGUCGGAUCUUUUUGGGAGAUCCUUGGGAUAUUUGGAAGAUAUACGGGAAAUAUUUGUAAAAUCUUCAAAUAAGGAAAUUUUUCUCACAGUGCUGUGAGUUUUUGCCCGGAGUCGGCGACUGCCCUGUGGAGUCGGGGACUUGGCGUGAUUCGGGGGAUUUGGAGAUCGAUUCUUGAUCUCAAAUUUUGUAAAUUUUGGGUUUUCUGGGGGGGUUUUGCAAUUUUCCCAAGGGCUAUAAAUAGUGGAGAGGUUUUCCCCAAACCCUCACAACACUUUUGCCACUCUUAAAUCGCCCACACCUCCAGAUUUUUGAAUUGCCGAUUCUUCAGUUUUAAACUUCGAAUCGCCGAUUCCCCCAAUGUCUACCCCCGAUUCCCCUUUGUCCCAAUUGAACGAAGACGAAACGUCAGCUCUCAUAGCUGAACUGAUCGUGGAUAACCUUGAUGAGGUGUUGAACACCGUUGAAUCGCCGAUUCCCUCUCCUGACAGGGAGGUUGAGUCGGCGAUUCCGGUCGUGCCACCUCAUGGUAUGGAGCUAAGUGCCACCGUGCACGAACUACUUGGCGCCACCGUGCACGAACUACUUGGCGCCCCGCCAGUGUCGGCGACUCAGUGCAGGGCCCUUGUGGUCGUACGGCAGCCUCUUGAGCCGGGGGAAAUUCCCGUGGCCUCUGUGUCGGCGAAUCCCAUUGUGGAGUCGGCGACACAUGCAGGUCCUGUUAAGGGGAAAUCCUUCAAGCGAAGGGGGCAGGGCUCAGCUGCCAUUGGGUCGGCGACUGCUGGCCGUGACUCGCCGAUUCCUGUCAUUGGAUCGGCGACUCGUGUGCUGGAGUCGGCGACUCCCAUGCUGAUAGAUGAUUCUUCCGCGUAUCGCACCGCACCAUUGGUCGUGAGCGCGGAAGGACAUAUUGUGUCGGGACUGAACCCGAACCAAGGUCCUUCUCUGAAGAGAAAGAGAAGGCGCACCACUGGAAAGGGCAAAGUACAUGUGCCCGAAGAGAAUGAAGGAGUCCCUCCUCCUCUGAAUAUAAACUUUGAGGAGACCUUGACUGUGGACCAUGGUGCUCCGAAUCCACGUCGUAGAGCGGGCCGGCGCUCUGAAAGAACUCCGCCACCUCCUGUGGAUCUGGAUGCUAGUCGAGACCCGGACCUCGACUUGAACACUUACAUUGGAGCUUUGAACCCAUCUGGGUUCGCUCACUGUGAAAUUGCCGUGAAUGGCGCGCCAAGGUUGCUUCCGAUCGGCCGUUCUGGGGACGGCGAGUACGAAUAGGUUAUGACUCAUGCAACCUUGGAUGGGUCUGAUGGAGUGAAUCCCCCCUCAAAUAUGAAUGCGAGCGACGCUCGAUCAUUACUAUCGGGGAUUCAAUUGUCUGGUCACUUGCGAUUCUGGGUGUCGCGAUACCAGCCAAUCAAUCUGCCACCCCCGGGGUUCCAGGCCAUCCCGAGGGUCUACUUCAAGCACUUCUCCGAGCUGCCGAUUCCGGAGAUUAUAAGCGAAGUGCUUCAGACAUUUGAAGUAUCCCUGUCACAGCUCCCGACGGGAUUCUUUGUGAUCCUGCGGGGCUUCAUGAACAUCUGCUGGGGGCUCAACAUUGCUGCGGCGGCGAGCUUGUUCUUGUACUUCUACAAGCUCACGAAAGAGAAGUCUGCAUCCGGUCGCUUUGGGUUCACGCGACGACAUUUCGACAAGAACAUCGUCGAUGAGCUCCCGACGAACUUCGGAUCCAACUGGAGAAGAGAGUUCAUUUUCAUUACUUCUGAAUUUCUUCCCGGGAGUCGGGAAAUAUGGAAUGACCCCAAUCGAGUGCACAUGAACGCCUCGAUUGAGAUGACUACGAGGGACAUUGAUGCAUCGGAUCGAAUAGCGCUGACACUCACUGCAUAUUCUGUGCCGCGCGGUGUUCCCUUUGUCCUUUGCCAAAGGGAAGACUUUACAUUCGAGGACGUGAAAGAGGCGCACGGACCACCUACCGAAAAGGAGUUGGAGAGCGGAAAGAAACGUUCUAUUUUAUAUCACGACGCUGUUCCUCUUCACAUGCGCAAGAGGUUCCGAGAGGGCAAGCUGAUCAGAUUGCGAAAAAGGAAGACCUCUCGCAGCGAGCCUCGCCGGACCUUUGAGCAUGGGUCGAGCUCUCGCUCUGCACCACCACCUGCCAGGGGCUAUGAGCCUUACACUUCUGCUGGAGUGACACUUCCCGAUUUUAUGGCUAGUGCUGAAACUCGAAGGGAAGCGAUGUCACUCCUCUUGGGUCAUCCUGGGACUUGGUGCAGGAGUGAAUUACUGAAGUAUAUGAAUGCCGCGUGUUAUAUGGCACAUGCUUGUUAUCAUGGAGACUCUAUCCAUGACGUCGAGAAGAUUUAGGAAAAAUACAACCAACUCGACGCAAAGUUCAAGGAGAGCGAGAAGGCUCUUGACAAGCUGAAGAAUGUGAGGUCCAGGAUGGAGAACCUCCGUGACAAUAUUCUGCCGAAGAAGGACAAGACCAUUGAGUCCAAGCAGAAGGAAAUAGACGAGUAUGUCAUGAAGAUCUUGGUGCUUCGCAAAGAUCUGAAAGCUGCUAGCUCUGGCCGUGCUAAAGAUAUUGAAGACCUAAAGAGCCAACUAGCUAGUGAGAAAGGGCACGUGGCCUCGCUUGAGGCUACGAUAGCGGAGUUGAAGAAGCAAGCUGCUCAGAGCCAAAGCGAAACUACUGAGCUGAAAAGCGAGCUUGCCAGUGCGGAAGAAGAGUUUCUGACUCUGAAGGAUGACAAUACCGCACUUACUGAUAGAGCUGCAGGAUUGGAUUUGGAUGUGCGCUACCAAUCCGACCAGCUUCAAAAGCUUAUAUUCUUUGGUCCUUCCGUGUUUCCAGCUCUACCCCCCGACUACAUCACAGACAUAAUGGCGUGGAUAGAGCAGCACCCUGAAGAGCUCGCGAAGAAUAAAGAGGCUCUCGAAAAGAUGAAGGACGAAGCCGCGCAAGAAUAGAUUUUAUAAGUCCUUUUAUUUUGUAAUCUUUUUGUAAUUGCUAUCCUUUUUUGUAAUAUGAAUUUUUAAUGAAAUUAAUCGCUUUUGCUUUUCUAUUCAAUUGUUCAUUUACUUUAUUCUUUUGAAUUGUAACUAAGACCCGAAACUAGAUUCGCAAGUCGUAAUUUAGCCUCUCUGGACGUAAACUAGACUAACCCUAUCGCUAGCCAUUCUGGGCGUAGACUUGGUCGUACGAAUCGUAGCUCAGUCUACGGUUAAAUUCGCGAAAAUAAACUAAACUUCACAACUAAUAGUAAGUCGCAAUAUCGAUUAACAAAUUCGAAAGAUAAUAAAUAUGUCGAAAGAUAACAAUAAAAAGAUACUAUCAAUCCUAAGACUCUAGAGUUGUAGUUUUGCUCCGGCCGAGGUGACAGAGCAACUUUUUGUCCCAUAUCAAAGAUGUAACAAUGAGAUGGGGUGAAAUUGUUUAAAACGAUUACUAAUCUAUUAAGGCCGUAGCGACAUGAUAGAUUCUGAUUUGUGGUGGGUACUUAGAACCUCUUGUGGUUGGGUUCACUUGUACCUAUCAACUACCUAGGACUCUGCUUUUAGACCCUAACGCGUGGUUGAACUCUGGCCAUGAUGACAGAGCAACUUUUUGGACCCAUAUCUAGGCUGAAGAGACCAGAUUGGGCUGAAAUUUUUUAAAGAUGAUUUUGAUCUAUUAAGGCAAUAACGACAAAAUAGAUUCAUAAUGUGGGGUGCUAGCUAGAGUCGUAGGUAGAUGAUAAAUUUAAAUUUUAUUAAAAGAUGCAAAUUACAACAGUAAGAUUUGUAAUUUUUAAACUAACACAUAAACUAAGAGGCUCUAGCGCACAUAAUACUAAGCGCGAUGUUGCUGUACGUUGUCCGUGUGCCAGAUGCAAGGACUUUUGGGUGACAGCUUAUUCCUAUUCCUCUUAGUUAUGCUAGCCUUCCUGUUGGUCUACCACCAAAUAGCAUAUGGAUGGUUUUCCGUGGGUGGUCCUCGCUAUUGUCACUGUCUGGUGAGGGAGAGCGUGGGCGCUUCCCAUUCACGUCAGACUUGCCAUUGUUUCGAUCCCGGGAUCCUUUGACCAGGCUGUCAAGUUUGCCGUUCGAAAUUAAUUGCUCGAUAUAAAGCGAGAAUUCCCUGCAAUAGUCUAUCAGAUGGCCGUGGUCCUUGUGGAAUUCGAAGAAUUUUCCACUUUUCUGGCGGCGAUCCUUGGUUGCAGGGUCCAUAGAGCGAGGAGCGGGCAGAUCCGCUCUGUUCCUCAGUUUUUCAAACAGCUCGCCUUUACUGAUUGUUAGUGGGGUCCGGUUCCUCCAAGGUUGAGGUGGACCCCUUGGUGAUCGUUUGACGGAUGUUUGAUACACUUUGUUAUAAUGUUUAGGCUUCCAAUCCUUUCUGGAGGAAUCAGCCGCAUUGCUAGUGUAUCUGUUCGAGGAGUCAUUGUAGCUCUUUCUCUCGAACUUCUGUUUUUUUAAGCUAGUGUUCUCGAGUUCCACUAGCUUGUUUUUAUUCUGCUCUUCCACCUCAAUGAAUGACUGAGCUCGUUGGAAGAGGUCGGGUAAGGUCUCCACUUUGUGGAGCGUGAGAUUCAUGGCCAGAGGGGAGUAGGGUACCAGCCCGUUUGUGUACCCCGCAAUGGCCAAACUUGGGAUUAAGUCGCUCACUUCUGUCAUCAUUGAAGUGAACUUAAUCGUGUAAUCCCUUAAAGACAAUUUGUCCUGUCGUAGCGCCAGUAGUGCAUUGGCGCUGUGUUUGAUCCUGAUCAUCCCCACGUGUUGGGCGAUGAAUUUGGAUGCAAGGUCUGCAAAGCUGGAAACUGAUCCGGCCGGCAGACCAGAAAACCAUCGAUAGGCAUUGCCCUUAAGAGUGCCGGGGAAUGCUCGACACAGCAGUGCGUUAUCAGUGGUUUGCGGUUCCAGAACGCUGAGGUAGAGGUUGACGUGAUCUUGUGGAUCACUCUAACCAUCGUACGACUCUAUUCUGGGUACCCGCCAGGUUGGUUGAAAGGCCACCUUCAAAAGGUCCUCUUGGAAAGGAGCGCUUUUGACUCUUAAGAACUCGAUCGGAUUGCUGAUGACUAGAGUGUCAGCCAGCUUCCGACGGAGGUCCUCUACGAAUCGUAUUGUAAGAGUCCUAUCAGUGCGACUCUUACUAGAUCCAGCUCUUGAUUUUUCUGGCUCUGGACCUUUCUUUUUCUCCGUAGUUGGAGAAUUGUGAGAAGCCGAUUCACACGCUCUCUUGCGGGUGAUGGUUCUCUGACUCCUUGCUUUUUCAAGGUUGCUAACUCUUCUUUCAAUGUUAUCCAUGAAGUUAACCAACCUUGUUUCUAGAUUAGGAGAGAUGGAUGUCCGAGGGGGCAGAUCAGUUUGGGCAUCCUCGAACCUUUCAACUUGUAUGUUUGGUUGAGGAUGCUCAGUUUAUGCCCCAUCGGGUACCACUGAGGAUUUACCCUUGUUUCUCAGAUGGUAAUCGUGCUUUUGCCCUUCAGAUGUCAUAGAUGACAAAAGCGAAUUCCAACCGGAGCGUAGGUAUUAAUUAGGCUAACUCGAAAGAAACCCAGUGGAGUCGGCGACUCAGUAGGUGGAGUCGGCGACUGGCCUUAGGUUUUUUUGAUUUUCGAGCUGAGUAGAGGCUCGAGAAAAAACCAAGUGGAGUCGGUGAUUCACUAUGGGAGUCGGCGAUUCACAAAGGUGGAAUCGGCGACAGACACUAGUGGAAUCGGUGAUUGCUUUAGGUAGUUUUCCUUCGAGUCUGGCCGUGGACAACACUCUUAGCUAGCAGAAUAACCCGCAAUCGGAGACUCACUGGGUGGAGUCGGCGAUUGCCUGUGUGAAUCGGAGAUUCCUUGACACAAAGUCAGCGACUCACCCUAAGGGAAUCGAGCUGAUCUUUGCGAAGAAAAUUUCACGAUUACGACGGGAUAUCGUAGUUCGAUAGUCCCACAGACGGCGCCAGCUGAUGAAGCACGAAAUCUGCUACCAGUAGGCUCACGAUGUCGCGAGGAGGGCCGGAGGCUUUGGAGUCCACGACGCACGCUCUACGUCAAUGUACCUGCAGAAGGGGAGGGGAAUCGGCGACUCUCUUGGGAAUAGGCGAUUCAGGCUUCAAGUAUUGCUCUGGUUGGUGUGUGUCAAGUGGGAAUGACUUGAGGGUAGAGGUUCCCCAAGGACCCCUUUUAUAGGGUCCUGGGAGACGUUUCCCCAUUCAUUAGCGUGGGACCCACCCCAUUAAGGUAUCCUAUUAAAGAGUGCCUUAAUGACGUGGGCCCACUCAAGUAACGGCUGGGAGUCGGCGAUUCAGGUGUGGGAAUCGCCGAUCCAGAGGUUCAAUCGCCGACUCCCCAUGAGCCUAGUGGCAGCCUACCAGAACUGUUCACCCCUGGAUUCGGCGACUUGGUAGUCCCAAUCGGCGACUCCCAGGUGCUGCCUUGAGUACUUGACGUAGACACUCCUUCCGAAUUCGUGGAACUCUCCGGGGGUCCGGCAUAAAGCGACGGAACCCUAGUCCUUGUCGAAGGGCGUUGUUGGGAGUGACUGACGUGAUCAGGCAUGUCUCACCAGACCCCGAACCGGCAAACGAUGCUUCUAAAGACGAAGUUCAUUACAUUCUGCUCGUUGAUCGUGUUCGUGGCUUCCGCUUCGGACCACUUUGUCAAAUAAUUGACCGCUACGAAUAAGAAUUUUCUUCCCCUCGACGCCGGCGGGAAAGUCCCGACUAUGUCAAUCCCACACCUUGCGAAUGGGACUGGCAUCGUUACGGGAUUCAUCAUGGUGGACGACCGCCUCUGGACGUUCGAGUGCCACUGGCAUUCGUCGCAUCGGACGACGAUUUCUUCUGAGUCUUUUAUUGACUCGGCCAAUAGUAGCCUUGCCUGGCUACUUGCUUCUCCAACGUCCUUCCGCCCUGAUGUGCACCGCUUGCCCCCUCGUGGAGGCUCCGUGCGAUGGCUUUGCCGUCCUCCUGCGAGACGCACAAUCGGUCUACCGAUGGUAGUGGGUAGCUAUCCUUAGGGCACGUUUUGUUGAGGUUUGUGAAGUCAACGCACAUCCUCCACCCCGCAUCUGCCUUUUUCACCAUGACCACAUUGGACAGCCAGGCGGGGUAACACACUGGGCGAAUGAAGCCCGCUCGAGGGAGUUUCUUAACCUCCGUUUCUGCCGCCUCCCUUUUUUCUUCCCUUAGCGGGCACAGCUUUUGUCUGAUGGGGUGGGCGCCCGGGGCCACCGCGAGCUUGUGCUCUGCCAGCGCCCUAGGCACGCCACUCAGCUCCCCCAACUCAUUUGCGAACAAGUCCUCGUUUUUCCUGAGGAGCUGCUCCAGCCCCCCUCUCAAGUCCCGUGGGAGAUCCUUUCCUAUACGUACCUCGUUCCGGCCGAGGCCGAUUAGGAUCGUGUGGGAAGCUGGCCCCGGCUUCGGGACACAAUCGCGUGCAGAGUGCGGUAGGCCCUCGUCCGAUGCCAUCACCUCGCUCACCGAGUUGAAGUAGCACUCGUGUGCCUUCUUCUGGGAUCCUCUGACCGUGCAUACUCCCUCUUUGGUUGGGAAUUUGUGGCACUGGUGAAGCGAAGACAUCACCGCCUGGAACGCGUGCAGCGCCGCUCUUUCUAGGAUGGCAUUGUAUCCAAACGUGAAGUUUACCACGGUGAACGUGACUUCGACUGUCCUUGCUUGAGCGUGCCGGCCCAAGGUGACCGGGAUGGAUAUCAUGGGGGCUCGCCUUGGGAGCAGGUCCGUGCGAGCCAGACCGAGGUCGAUGAAGGUGUUCCAGUACAGUACGUCUAUGGACGCCCCUGUGUCCACCAAAACCCUGUGUAGGCGUACAUUGGAUUUAUCCCUCCUUUGGAAGAUGGGGGUUAUGACUAACGGGUCGUCGUGGGGCGUAGUGAUGUCCUUCAUGUCGUCUUCUGUGAACGAGAUUUCCAUCUACGUUCGUGGGCGCUUCGUCCCCGUCGUCCGGUCCAAAUCUGACGCGUACCGACACCCUUCCCAUGGGUCGUCGCCCCUGGAGGCCCCCCUCAUGCGAUGGUGAGGAUAUCCCCAAUUGCUUCGUCGGCUGGAUCUUGCUUCUGCGCUUAGUGCCUCGUGGGUAUGACCGUCGGACGUCUAGCUGGCGUUGCGGGGGGGGGNNNNNNNNNNNNNNNNNNNNNNNNNNNNNNNNNNNNNNNNNNNNNNNNNNNNNNNNNNNNNNNNNNNNNNNNNNNNNNNNNNNNNNNNNNNNNNNNNNNNAGACUGGUUCCUAAGCGAAGUAGCCUUAAAGCUUAGAGAGGUUUUUAAGAGUUCCUUGAUACUCUAAGGUACUAACUUACCCGUAAAAGUUAGAGGUUCUUAAGAGUGCCCUUGAUACUCUAAGGUGUGAGUCUACCCGUAAAAGACUGGUUCCUAAGCGAAGUAGCCUUAAAGCUUAGAAAGGUUUUGCCAUUACCUUUAGGCGAGUGAAUUCCGGCAGUUGGUCGGGACUGGACUAGCCCUUGUUUGGGUGAACCAGUAUAAAUCUCUUGUUUUGUUCUUUGUUAAUUAUAGUUCUAUCUUUUACUUAAAAACAACACUUAAUUAAAAAGAUCCCUCUUCCAGUUAUCUGGUCAAACACAGAGGUUGACUACUUUACGCAGAUCCCUCAUCCAGUUAUCUGGUCAACUAUCUGAGGUUACAUUCAUUGUUUUAAAUCCUUAUAUUUGUUCAAGUAUUACUUAUCAUAUUUAUCCAGUUAUCUGGUCACUUACUUGUUUAUCAACUUAUCCAGUUAUCUGGUCACUUACUUGCUUGUCAAUAUAUCCAGUUAUCUGGUCAUUUACUUGCGUAUCAAUAUAUCCAGUUAUCUGGUCAUUUACUCUACAAUACAAUUUGUGUUUUCAAUAUAACUUAGUAUUCAUAUACUAUAGUUGUGUUUGAAACACUAUCAAGCAAGUUGACUCAGUAUUCAUAUACUGUAGUAAGCUUCAAAGAGUAAUACUUACAUUAUUAUAUCAAUUAAAAUAAUAAUAUCCUUAUAACAUUACUGUUCAACCAUUGGUUUAUUAAGCAUUUACAGGUAAUUCCGCUAUCAACCUGUAUAAAUCGAAAAGAGGCUAUCAUCCCC